CGGGCCUAAGACAUGAAAUCCACUGCAGAUCAUCCAAUGUGUUCAGAUAUCAAUGUAAUUGAAUCAACACACUUUCCGACAAUUUCUUUUCAUUGUUAUGGUAUAUGUUCUUUUUCUAAUUAUAAGAGAGGCUGAGGGGAAAACACGUAGCAAGUAAAAAGGAAAAGGAAAGGAAGUUACUGUGGAAUGGAUAAAAAGGGCACAUCAUGCACAUACAGCAACUGCAGCAAGAUUAUCACGCCUUGUCUGAAUAAACAUCUGUCGGAAUUGCUCAAAUCUGCCAUCCUUGAUUGCUUCUCUUAUUGACUGGAAGAACCCGAGGUAAUGGUGAGUAUUAUGUAUUUCUAAUAGAAUCUGAGCCAACAUCUCGUGGACAUUGAGU
This 382-nucleotide unclassified non-coding RNA is filed under the name Hevea brasiliensis (rubber tree). The record is from RNAcentral. Lineage: Eukaryota; Viridiplantae; Streptophyta; Magnoliopsida; Malpighiales; Euphorbiaceae.